CUGGGUGUAGCGCAGAUGGUAGCGCGCCACCUUGGGGUGGUGGAGGCCGUGGGUUCAAGUCCCGUCACUCAGA
This 73-nucleotide transfer RNA is filed under the name [Clostridium] methylpentosum DSM 5476. RNAcentral's name for it is "Clostridium methylpentosum DSM 5476 tRNA". It matches the Rfam family "tRNA". From Rfam's summary of the family: Transfer RNA (tRNA) molecules are approximately 80 nucleotides in length. Their secondary structure includes four short double-helical elements and three loops (D, anti-codon, and T loops). Lineage: Bacteria; Bacillati; Bacillota; Clostridia; Eubacteriales; Oscillospiraceae. The record is from Rfam by way of RNAcentral.